Non-coding RNA from Phrynosoma platyrhinos (Desert horned lizard), 72 nucleotides. The record is from the annotation of a GenBank genome assembly. NCBI's taxonomy places the organism in Eukaryota, Metazoa, Chordata, Lepidosauria, Squamata, Phrynosomatidae.
GCCAGCAUAGUGUAGUGGUUUGAGCAUUAGACUAUAGCUCUAGAGCCCAGGGUAAGAAUCCCUGCUUGGGGA